This 491-nucleotide ribosomal RNA is filed under the name uncultured bacterium. Its description in RNAcentral is "partial 16S ribosomal RNA". It matches the Rfam family "Bacterial small subunit ribosomal RNA", at positions 29 to 507 of the family's 1533-position model. The record is from RNAcentral.
GUGAACGCUGACGGUAGGCCUAACCCAUGCCAGUCGAACGGCAGCACAGUAAGAGCUUGCUCUUACGGGUGGCGAGUGGCGGACGGGUGAGGAAUACAUCGGAAUCUACUUUUUCGUGGGGGAUAACGUAGGGAAACUUACGCUAAUACCGCAUACGACCUACGGGUGAAAGCAGGGGAUCUUCGGACCUUGCGCGAUUGAAUGAGCCGAUGUCGGAUUAGCUAGUUGGCGGGGUAAAGGCCCACCAAGGCGACGAUCCGUAGCUGGUCUGAGAGGAUGAUCAGCCACACUGGAACUGAGACACGGUCCAGACUCCUACGGGAGGCAGCAGUGGGGAAUAUUGGACAAUGGGCGCAAGCCUGAUCCAGCCAUACCGCGUGGGUGAAGAAGGCCUUCGGGUUGUAAAGCCCUUUUGUUGGGAAAGAAAAGCAGCAGGUUAAUACCCCGCUGUUCUGACGGUACCCAAAGAAUAAGCACCGGCUAACUUCGUG